This 349-nucleotide long non-coding RNA is filed under the name Homo sapiens (human). Its description in RNAcentral is "HSALNT0218215". The record is from RNAcentral. Lineage: Eukaryota; Metazoa; Chordata; Mammalia; Primates; Hominidae.
UAGAAUAUGUUUUUUGUUUUUGUGUCUAAAGCCUUUCAGCUUCAAGAGGGAAGAGGCAAUGAAUGGUAGAGAGACAAAAGAUGAAGUCCUAAGAACUUUUAAUGGUGGCUAUGAUAAGGACCUGAUUUGAUACAUGAAACAGAGGAAUCUUUUGAUGCACUUUCUAUACAAGAGGAAAGAGCACCGUCACAGCUCACUGAUUUGACCAAAGGAGAAGCUGUAUCACCAAGACUCGCCAACUUAUGCCCUGUAGGUUGUCUGCUAUACUCCAACAAAGAAUUAAUUCUUCUGACGGACUGACGAACAGGAGUACGCUGAAACUUAAGAGGUGACUUGACUUUUAUUCUAU